UCCAAAGAUGCUAUAAUUUGCGUGUGAUCUCUGCGACCGGAGGAUCACGCCUGGUCUUCAGAACGGCGUAGGGGAUUUGAUCUUCAAUUCUUACAUAUUCUGAGA
RNAcentral lists this small nucleolar RNA (105 nucleotides) under Dothideomycetidae sp. 11243. RNAcentral describes it as "fungal sp. No.11243 A. fumigatus snoRNA Afu_514". It matches the Rfam family "A. fumigatus snoRNA Afu_514". The record is from Rfam by way of RNAcentral. Lineage: Eukaryota; Fungi; Ascomycota; Dothideomycetes.